Long non-coding RNA from Hyla sarda, 1451 nucleotides. RefSeq lists it as uncharacterized. The transcript has 2 exons. The record is from RefSeq and is a predicted model, not a curated record. NCBI's taxonomy places the organism in Eukaryota, Metazoa, Chordata, Amphibia, Anura, Hylidae.
GGGAGUGCGGAAUCCCAUAGAAGUCUAUGGGCUUUAAUUUGAGGCGGAAACCCGCCGUGUGAAUAGACCCUAAGAAUGAAAGGAUUGGGGAGUUGACAUUCACCAUUGCCUGAUCUUUCUUUUCCCUGACAUUAUCUGUUGGGGAAGAGUUAGGUUAGUUCUGUCAGAAUCGGCAGGUUCCCUCGACACGUAUCCAACGUAUGUGACCAGAUUAAAGGUUUUUCUUUCUUUCUUUAUUUCCAUCUCUAUGGAAAUGUUGACUUGCUGGUCUGGUAGUAUGACCCCCUAGGAGUUGGGGACCUGUCAAAUAGAAAAAAAAUUGGUUGUCCAGUUUGGAGUUACCCUUUAGGCUUUGGCUAUAUUUACCUAUGUAAAUAUAAUUCAGGAAAGAGACUUUGCACCCAUGAAUCUUUGGGGGAGUUUAGGUGGUCAGUUUAAAAGACUGGCUCCAUGAGUCUUCGAGGAGCUUGGGUGGUUGAUUCAAAAGAUUGCACCCAUGAGUCUUUGGGAAGCUUAGGUGGGUAAUUCAAAAGAUUGCACCCAUGAGUCCUUGAGUAUCUUAGAUGGUUAAUUCAAAAGAUUGCACCCAUGAGACUUUGGCGAGUUUAGGUGGGUAAUUCAAAAGAUUGAAUCCAUGAGUCCUUGAGUAUCUUAGGUGGUUGAUUCAAAAGAUUGCACCCAUGAGUCCUUGAGGAGCGUAGGUGGUUAAUUCAAAAUAUUGCACCAAUUAAUUCUUCAGGGAGCUUAGGUGGUUAAUUCAAAAGAUUGCACCCAUGUGUCCUUAAGGAGCGAAGGUGGUCAAUUCAAAAUAUUGCACCAAUGAAUUCUUCAUGGAGCUUAGGUGGUUGAUUCAAAAAAUUGCACGCAUGAGACUUUGGGGAGUUUAGGUGGUUAAAGGGGUUGUCCAGGAUUAGAAAAAAGUUGCUUGCUGUAGACAAGAGUGAUGCUGUUUUUCCAAAGAAGCAGUGUUUUUCUAAUCCUGGACAAACAUUUUUAAUACACAAGAUUUCACCCAUGAGACUUUGGGGAGUUUAGUUGGUGGUUAAUUCUUCAUAUCAGGAGGGGGGGGGGGGGUGUUUUUUUUUAUUCUUUUUUAAUCCAUAAUAAAUGUGAAUUCCCAAAGGAUAAUCUCAUCUCGUGGAAUGUAAUAAGAUAAAUACUUUUGUGUUUUUUCUACUGACAUUUUUUGUUUUUACUGCAUUAAAUCCUGUAUUCUCUUCGUGGAGAUUUGUAUAUCACGUCCUCGGGAACGUUCUCCGUCCGUUUUCUGCGGCUGGAGCGGCGUACGAUGCGUUUACAGAGAAAGUAUAAUAGAGUUUUUAUUACGCACAAAGAAAUGGGAGUAUUAAUAAAUGGCUUUUUAUUGUAUAAAGGGAAUUGUCAGUAAUGUUACUGUGUGCCGUGCCUUCAUCUCAUGUAACGGGAUUAAUAAACAUUCUUGGGUUUGUAAA